Molecule: ribosomal RNA, 700 nt
Filed under: uncultured bacterium
Lineage: Bacteria
Description: bacterial SSU rRNA
Rfam family: Bacterial small subunit ribosomal RNA
Source: RNAcentral
GAUUCCUAACUGAUUAGAGUUUGAUCUUCGCUCAGGAACGAACGCUUGGCGGCGUGCCUAAUACAUGCAAGUCGAGCGGACCGAAGGGAGCUUGCUCCUUUAGGUUAGCGGCGGACGGGUGAGUAACACGUGGGCAACCUGCCCUGCAGACUAGGAUAACUUCGGGAAACCGGAGCUAAUACCGGAUAACACCGAAAACCGCAUGGUUUUCGGUUGAAAGGCGGCUUUUAGCUGUCACUGCAGGAUGGGCCCGCGGCGCAUUAGCUAGUUGGUGAGGUAACGGCUCACCAAGGCGACGAUGCGUAGCCGACCUGAGAGGGUGACCGGCCACACUGGGACUGAGACACGGCCCAGACUCCUACGGGAGGCAGCAGUAGGGAAUCUUCCGCAAUGGACGAAAGUCUGACGGAGCAACGCCGCGUGAGCGAAGAAGGUCUUCGGAUCGUAAAGCUCUGUUGUCAGGGAAGAACAAGUACCGUUCGAACAGGGCGGGUACCUUGGACCGUUACCUGACGAGGAAGCCACGGCUUAACUACGUUGCCAGCAGCCGCGGUUAAUACGUAGGUGGCAAGCGUUGUCCGGAAAUUAUUGGGGCGUAAAACGCGGCGCAUGGCGGUUCCUUAAAGUCUGAUGUGAAAUCCUCCGCGGGCUCAACCCGCAAGCGGGCAUUGGAAAACUGGGGGUACCUUGAGUUGCAGGA